CCGAGACAGCUUGCAUACGUUGCUGUGUACUGAUGUCAUUGUAAUUACAAACGAUAAAUUAUUACCCGUUCAUAGUGCGCGAAAGUGCGACCAAACUGAAACCGAAUCUGGCCUGGGGGUUAAUCGAUGCCAUCUAGCCGUGGCGCAGCGUGUGCCUCUGGCGGACUUUUUACCAUCGUUACCUCGUUGAUGCACCGUGUGACGAUUUGAUUAUGAAAAAACAAGCUUGUAACCAGAGAGAAAAAAUGAAAACAGUAGUACGCAAACAGACGGUACGAGAUAAUGAGAUGUGAACCCAAAAGACAAUGGGAUAUCAAUGUUUGUAUUUUAAUGAGGACGUGGCCAAGCAAACACAUUAUUCAGGAAGCCAGGAAGCGCAGAAUCCAUUUUGCGCCAUGUUGCUAGCGUACAUCAAAGAGCUUCCUAGUAGCAUAACAAGCACAGCACGAUGGAAAUCCCGGGUGAAGGAUCCAGAUGGCUUAGCGGUCCAAACCGGUGAUGCUGGAUACAAGUUUUGCAACAAUAGUUUAUAUUGCUCAGUGGUUUAUGCAUAACUGUUUGGUUAAAUAGGCAAACAAUGAGACUCGUGAAACGUUCACAUCGUUCGGCAGGAACAGUUAUGGAAUACCUCUGAUGAACAUCAGUCGACGUGGUUGCAGCGUUAAAAUUGGAUAA
Long non-coding RNA from Malaya genurostris, 675 nucleotides. RefSeq lists it as uncharacterized. Lineage: Eukaryota; Metazoa; Arthropoda; Insecta; Diptera; Culicidae. The transcript has 4 exons. The record is from RefSeq and is a predicted model, not a curated record.